RNAcentral lists this long non-coding RNA (498 nucleotides) under Brachypodium distachyon (stiff brome). Its description in RNAcentral is "long non-coding RNA (BDIS_LNC003411)". Lineage: Eukaryota; Viridiplantae; Streptophyta; Magnoliopsida; Poales; Poaceae. The record is from RNAcentral.
GGCGCAUCCCAAUUGUUUAUUCUUUUUUUUUCAAUCCUUCCAUUCCGCAGUAAGCAUCCACUGUCCCUACCUGACCCACACCGCAGACCCCAUCCGAUCGCAUGUUGCAGAUAUUCUGAAAAAAAAAUCACACCCAGAACGAUCGCAUAUAGGUCCAUCUCAGUAAACGUUUCAAGCCCAUUAAAAAAGCUAUGAUCCCCCAAACAUUAGUCCGCAGCUUUCUUUUUUACCUGGGCCAGACCGGAGACGACGCCACAAAACGAUCAGAUAAAAACAACCGAAGAUGCGUCGCCUACUGGGCCGCCGUCUUCCUCAAACCUUCCCCGUGAAUAUCCCAUUUACACUCCCUUUUCCUUUAACCUCGACAGCUUUGCGACAACUUGUGUACCUUUUUUUUUCAUGCAGAAGGCAGGAAACACAUAAACAUACAUGCAAACAAGGCCAGACUAAAUGAAACCAAAACAUCGAGCGCACCGCCCACGAACUGCCCAAGCGUAG